RNAcentral lists this ribosomal RNA (546 nucleotides) under Abavorana luctuosa (mahogany frog). RNAcentral's name for it is "partial 16S ribosomal RNA". It matches the Rfam family "Bacterial large subunit ribosomal RNA", at positions 1858 to 2621 of the family's 2925-position model. Lineage: Eukaryota; Metazoa; Chordata; Amphibia; Anura; Ranidae. The record is from RNAcentral.
CCUGCCCAGUGACGAUAUUCACGGCCGCGGUACCCUAACCGUGCAAAGGUCGCAUAAUCACUUGUUCUUUAAAUAUUUGACUAGUAUCAACGGCAUCACGAGGGUUAUACUGUCUCCUUUUUCUAAUCAGUGAAACUGAUCUCCCCGUGAAGAAGCGGGGAUGAGAUUAUAAGACGAGAAGACCCCAUGGAGCUUAAAACUCAAUAUACACCCCUUUGCACAUAAACCAACUCACCCAAGACACCUGUAUAUUAGCUUUAGGUUGGGGGGACCGCGGAGCAUAAUUAAACCUCCACGACAAACGGGCCACGCCCUUAUCCACGAAUUACCUCUCUAAGAAUCAGUAGACUGAUGUUUUAUGACCCAAUAUUUGAUCAACGAACUAAGUUACCCUGGGGAUAACAGCGCAAUCUACUUAAAGAGCCCCUAUCGACAAGUAGGUUUACGACCUCGAUGUUGGAUCAGGGUAUCCCAGUAGUGCAGCCGCUACUAAUGGUUCGUUUGUUCAACGAUUAAAACCCUACGUGAUCUGAGUUCAGAACCGGA